GGCUCAGAACGAACGCUGGCGGCGUGCCUAACACAUGCAAGUCGAGCGAGAAAGCCCGCAAGGGUGAGUAAAGCGGCGCACGGGUGAGUAACACGUGGGUAAUCUGCCCUAGAGUCCGGAAUAACUCGCCGAAAGGCGUGCUAAUGCCGGAUGAGACCACGGGAGCCUCGGCUCCUGCGGGAAAAGGUGGCCUCUGUACACAAGCUAUCACUCUAGGAUGAGCCCGCGGCCCAUCAGCUCGUUGGCGGGGUAAUGGCCCACCAAGGCUACGACGGGUAGCUGGUCUGAGAGGACGAUCAGCCACACUGGAACUGAGACACGGUCCAGACUCCUACGGGAGGCAGCAGUGGGGAAUCUUGCGCAAUGGGCGAAAGCCUGACGCAGCAACGCCGCGUGUGUGAUGAAGGUCUUCGGAUCGUAAAGCACUGUCGCGAGGGACGAAUAAGGGGCGGGCUAACAUCCCGUUCCGAUGACGGUACCUCGAGAGGAAGCACCGGCUAACUCUGUGCCAGCAGCCGCGGUAAUACAGAGGGUGCAAGCGUUGUUCGGAAUUAUUGGGCGUAAAGCGCGUGUAGGCGGCCUUGCAAGUUGGGUGUGAAAGCCCUCGGCUUAACCGAGGAAGUGCGCCCAAAACUACGAGGCUUGAGUGCCGGAGAGGGUGGCGGAAUUCCCGGUGUAGAGGUGAAAUUCGUAGAUAUCGGGAGGAACACCAGUGGCGAAGGCGGCCACCUGGACGGUAACUGACGCUGAGACGCGAAAGCGUGGGGAGCAAACAGGAUUAGAUACCCUGGUAGUCCACGCUGUAAACGAUGAGCGCUAGGUGUUGUGGGUGUUGACCCCCGCAGUGCCGCAGCUAACGCAUUAAGCGCU
Molecule: ribosomal RNA, 870 nt
Filed under: uncultured bacterium
Lineage: Bacteria
Description: bacterial SSU rRNA
Rfam family: Bacterial small subunit ribosomal RNA
Source: RNAcentral